GGGGGCGACAGGAUUCGACGGGUCUAGUGAAGACUUCGCUGCGUGCCCAGGUUCUCAGUCACCUGGUUAAACAACUGGGAAACCAAACAACUGCCAACACUGAUUUGGCUCUGGCUGCGUAAGCUUCUGCUUGCGCACCUGCUCGCGUGGCAGCUCGCCUGAGGCGGCGCGCGGGUAUCGCAAAAUCGGGCUGGUUCUCGGCAUUGCUCCCGGGCCGAGUGCGAGAUCUUGAGGGAGCUGGUCCGGUGGUUGGAUGGCUACGUGCCGACCGCCGGCGACACUAAAGCGUAGCCUAUGCACGUAGAAGCGAUCUUGGAUCGAGGUUCGGACCGGGGUUCAAUUCCCCGCGCCUCCAUCA
This 358-nucleotide transfer-messenger RNA is filed under the name Gemmatimonadales. Its description in RNAcentral is "G020351775 sp020351775 Standard tmRNA". It matches the Rfam family "transfer-messenger RNA". Rfam says of the family: Bacterial tmRNA, also known as 10Sa RNA or SsrA, is named for its dual tRNA and mRNA-like properties. Its role is to liberate the mRNA from a stalled ribosome. To accomplish this part of the tmRNA is used as a reading frame that ends in a translation stop signal. RNAcentral also lists the same sequence under 1 other name. The record is from RNAcentral. Lineage: Bacteria; Pseudomonadati; Gemmatimonadota; Gemmatimonadia.